This 471-nucleotide long non-coding RNA is filed under the name Manacus vitellinus (golden-collared manakin). Its description in RNAcentral is "lncRNA (ENSMVIG00005012564.1)". The record is from RNAcentral. Lineage: Eukaryota; Metazoa; Chordata; Aves; Passeriformes; Pipridae.
UUUCUGUAAUACCAAGCUUUAUGUGUUUUCCACAGAGUGUCAGAAAAAUCAUAAGCACAAACUGCAGCUGGUGCUUCUGUGGCCAGUGAGGAUCAGUGGGAGCAAAUGAGGUGCUCCCCACACUGCUUGGCUUUUGGAGGCACUGGCUGUGCCUGUCCUUCUCUGCCCUUUGGGGACAAAACUGGUGUAAUGAUUGCACUCGGAUUCCUUCAGGCUCCAAACCAGACAAGAGAUAGGAACCAGGAAUCCUUUUCAGAGUCGUGUUUUAACAAAGGAUAUUCCUCUUGUUUUUCCAGACACGCAACUUACAAUAUUUGGAGUUGUUCAGGAGGUCUCCUGCUCCCUCUGAGGGUGGUGGCAGGUAUCAGUGAGCACAGCUGCUUGGGCACUGCCUGCAGGUCUCUGGGGGCAGAGGAGUCUCAGCAGGUGGGUUUCCCUGCUCAGCUCAGAGUGAAGAAAAAGGAGGAAUAA